AACAGUUGAGACGAUAGACAGGGAGCCAGCCAGAAACAUUUCUUAAAUCUCCGCCUUUGCCUCUUUCAAACUGUAUGCCCUAGGUGGUAUGGCAGAGUUCCAGGCCCAGCGGCUGCUCCCUGCACCUGCCCCCUCCACAUCCAAUUUCUUUGCAAUGGCCUAAAAAGCUAACCAAGCUGAAAUAGCUCAUUCCAAGGCUCUCAAACUCCGGCACCAUUAUUCAGUGUUUGCAGAGGCCUAGCCUCAUCCCUGCCACUCACCAUUUCCCAUCUGUUGGGAGCACUUGGCUGUGGUAUCUUCGAUGCUCACCGUCCCGUUGGGCUUGAGGAUAAGAGCCCCAGCCUAGGAUGAGGUGCCACCCAUAGUGGGCCGGUCUUCCCACUUCUUUCAGCACAAUCAGGAAAAUACCCACAGGUGUGCCCAGAGCUCCAGCUCCAAGUUGACAAUGACCACCAAGCAAGCACAAGACUCCAGCUAAUUUGUCAGCGCAUUAGGAUGCAAGAAGACACUUUACUCUCAGCAGAUGUCACACCAUGCUCUUGGACUACCCAGCUUUUCAAACCAUGAGCUUAAUAAAUCUCUACUCUCUAUCAGUUA
Molecule: long non-coding RNA, 597 nt
Organism: Mus musculus (house mouse)
Lineage: Eukaryota; Metazoa; Chordata; Mammalia; Rodentia; Muridae
Product: RIKEN cDNA 4933432K03 gene
Exons: 3
Source: RefSeq, marked validated